AGCGUAAAUGCAGAUGCUCCAGUGGAUAGCGCGAGCUUCAAACCAAAUGCUAUUGCGAGAUUGCUUUCAGGCAUUGGCACAGUGAAUGGCAGCUGAAAAAUUUUGACCCUUGUUUCUGGAAGUGAAAUGUUAGAUGGUUUGAUGAAGUGCCACAGAGAUUAUCGUUUAAAGAAUGCGUGCAGGCUAACCACCAACACAAGAUAUUAAAAGAGCAAUGAAAAUGAAGAUUUAACUAUAAAGAAAAAUCUGACUAAUAUUAUUACUCAUAACACUUAAUUGUUUCGUAUUACUGUAAAUUUAUGCGAGUUUUCCUGUAUUCUGUUUAUUUUGCAACUUAUGUUAUUGUAAAUUCAUGUAUGUUUUCAUUCUUGCUCUGUCAUGCAUUUCAUACUAAUCGUAAUUAUAUGUGUAUAUUACAUCAUUGAAUUACUGUAUUUGAAUUUCAA
This is a long non-coding RNA of Stegodyphus dumicola, 446 nucleotides long. NCBI's taxonomy places the organism in Eukaryota, Metazoa, Arthropoda, Arachnida, Araneae, Eresidae. The record is from RefSeq and is a predicted model, not a curated record.